AACGAACGCUGGCGGCAGGCUUAACACAUGCAAGUCGAACGGAUCCUUCGGGAUUAGUGGCAGACGGGUGAGUAACGCGUGGGAACGUACCCUUUGCUACGGAAUAACUCAGGGAAACUUGAGCUAAUACCGUAUGUGCCCUACGGGGGAAAGAUUUAUCGGCAAAGGAUCGGCCCGCGUUGGAUUAGCUAGUUGGUGGGGUAAUGGCCUACCAAGGCGACGAUCCAUAGCUGGUCUGAGAGGAUGAUCAGCCACACUGGGACUGAGACACGGCCCAGACUCCUACGGGAGGCAGCAGUGGGGAAUAUUGGACAAUGGGCGCAAGCCUGAUCCAGCCAUGCCGCGUGAGUGAUGAAGGUCUUAGGAUUGUAAAGCUCUUUCACCGGUGAAGAUAUUGACGGUAGCCGGAGAAGAAGCCCCGGCUAACUUCGUG
This 433-nucleotide ribosomal RNA is filed under the name uncultured bacterium. Its description in RNAcentral is "partial 16S ribosomal RNA". It matches the Rfam family "Bacterial small subunit ribosomal RNA", at positions 29 to 507 of the family's 1533-position model. The record is from RNAcentral.